Molecule: unclassified non-coding RNA, 192 nt
Filed under: soil metagenome
Description: partial internal transcribed spacer 1
Source: RNAcentral
UUGAAUUACAACUACGUAUGUGAACCAACUGAACCACGGUGUAAGCAACUGCUGUUGAAGGCUUCUUAUGAGGCUCAAACCGCGGCCAGAGACUCGUGGGUAGGAGUAACAACUGACGGACUUUGAGCCGUCAGUCAUUUUUUUACCACCCUUUAACAUUGACUCUGACUGAAUUCUUUAAAACUUUAAAGA